RNAcentral lists this ribosomal RNA (663 nucleotides) under uncultured bacterium. Its description in RNAcentral is "bacterial SSU rRNA". It matches the Rfam family "Bacterial small subunit ribosomal RNA", at positions 232 to 885 of the family's 1533-position model. The record is from RNAcentral.
CGCGGCCUAUCAGCUUGUUGGUGAGGUAACGGCUUACCAAGGCGACGACGGGUAGCUGGUCUGAGGGGAUGGUCAGCCACACUGGAACUGAGACACGGUCCAGACACCUACGGGUGGCAGCAGUCGAGAAUCAUUCGCAAUGGGGGAAACCCUGACGGUGCAACGCCGCGUGGAGGAUGAAGGUCUUCGGAUUGUAAACUCCUGUCAUCAGGGAGUAAGGCUCUGGGUAGUUACUGACCCAGGGAUUGCUAGUACCUGAAGAGGAAGAGACGGCUAACUCUGUGCCAGCAGCCGCGGUAAUACGGAGGUCUCAAGCGUUGUUCGGAUUUACUGGGCGUAAAGCGUGCGUAGGCGGCGAGGUAAGUCAGAUGUGAAAGCUCGGGGCUCAACCCCGAAAAUGCAUCCGAUACUGCCUUGCUAGAGUAAUGGAGGGGGGUCUGGAAUUCACGGUGUAGCAGUGAAAUGCGUAGAUAUCGUGAGGAACACUAGUGGCGAAGGCGAGACCCUGGACAAUUACUGACGCUCAGGCACGAAGGCUAGGGUAGCGAAGCGGAUUAGAUACCCGCGUAGUCCUAGCAGUAAACGGUGCGCGUUUGGUGUGGGAGGAUUCGACCCCUUCCGUGCCGUAGCUAACGCGUUAAACGCCCCGCCUGGGGAGUACGG